CGGACGAUUAUCAAUAUUGAAGAUUCUAAAAAGUAUCACAGAUACAAAGCUAACCAACCACAAAUCCCUCAGAAAACGUGCCAUGGGAAUUAUUGAUAAACUUUAUACGAGAGAAAAUAAUCUACUCUAACAAAAACAGUAAAGCCGGUUGCUCGUAAGCAGCAUCAUCAGUUACAAUUGGGUUGGGAAAAGCAAAAAUGGAUUGAGUUUUAUGGUAAAAUGCGGGCAGCAGAGGUACCUGUCCCGAUUGUAAAUAAUACAAACAUUCUAAUUUGCAUUUGCAAACUGGAUUCCCUUCUCAAUAGAAGCUUUGAGCUCGGGCUUGAGCUUUUCCAAACCUUCUUUCUCGAAGUCUGAGAGAGGACCCAAAUCCAAAACAGACUCUACCCCAUUCUUUCCAAGCUUCACCUUUGAAGCAAAGAAUGGAAGUUCGGUGACAGUUGAUUGCACAAAUGAACAUUCCACAACAUCUGGAACUCCAUUUAGUCCCUUAAGACAAGCAUCGGCAAAAAGGGCUCCAG
RNAcentral lists this unclassified non-coding RNA (521 nucleotides) under Hevea brasiliensis (rubber tree). Lineage: Eukaryota; Viridiplantae; Streptophyta; Magnoliopsida; Malpighiales; Euphorbiaceae. The record is from RNAcentral.